RNAcentral lists this transfer RNA (70 nucleotides) under Thermofilum sp. NZ13. Its description in RNAcentral is "tRNA-Cys". The record is from RNAcentral. Lineage: Archaea; Thermoproteati; Thermoproteota; Thermoprotei; Thermofilales; Thermofilaceae.
GCCUAUGAGGCCUGGCACGCGUCGGGCUGCAGACCCGAUUUUACCCCGGGUUCGAAUCCCGGCCCCGGCU